GCACCUCCUUUGAUAUGUCUUCCUGCUGGGAUCACUUUGUCAUAGAAGAGAGUUACUUUUCCAUUGGACGAGACUGGUGCUGGCUCAUGUUCCCAGACGUUUUCCUUGAUUUCUACCUCCAGUUCUUUGCAGACUUUCCAGUGGAGAUAUUGACAGAUCUUGUUGUGUCGGGAUGUAUAAUGUCCGCCUGCCAUAAGGAGACUCAUGGAUGAA
Thalassophryne amazonica is the source of this 213-nucleotide long non-coding RNA. RefSeq lists it as uncharacterized. The record is from RefSeq and is a predicted model, not a curated record. NCBI's taxonomy places the organism in Eukaryota, Metazoa, Chordata, Actinopteri, Batrachoidiformes, Batrachoididae. The transcript has 3 exons.